AGUGAACGCUGGCGGUAGGCCUAACACAUGCAAGUCGAACGGCAGCACAGUAAGAGCUUGCUCUUACGGGUGGCGAGUGGCGGACGGGUGAGGAAUACAUCGGAAUCUACUUUUUCGUGGGGGAUAACGUAGGGAAACUUACGCUAAUACCGCAUACGACCUACGGGUGAAAGCAGGGGAUCUUCGGACCUUUCGCGAUUGAAUGAGCCGAUGUCGAAUUAGCUAGUUGGCGGGGUAAAGGCCCACCAAGGCAACGAUCCGUAGCUGGUCUGAGAUGAUGAAAAGAGAAAGAGGAACUGAGAAACGGUCAAGACUCCUACGGAAGGAAGCAGUGGGGAAUAUUGGAGAAUGGGCGCAAGCCUAAUCCAGCCAUACCGCGUGGGUGAAGAAGGCCUCCGGGUUGUAAAGCCAUUUUGUUGGGAAAGAAAAGCAGCAGGUUAAUACCCCGCUGUUCUGAAGGUACCCAAAGAAUAAGCACCGGCUAACUUCGU
This 491-nucleotide ribosomal RNA is filed under the name uncultured bacterium. Its description in RNAcentral is "partial 16S ribosomal RNA". It matches the Rfam family "Bacterial small subunit ribosomal RNA", at positions 29 to 506 of the family's 1533-position model. The record is from RNAcentral.